UCUCACUCUGUCUCCCAGGCUGGAGUGCAGUGGUGUGAUCUAAGCUCACUGCAGCCUCCACCUCCUGGGUUCAAGAGAUUCUCCUGCCUCAGCCUCCCAAGUAGCUGGGAUUACAGGCAUGCACCACCAUGCCCAGCUGAUUUUUUGUAUUUUUAAUAGAGAUGAAGGUUUCACCAUGUUAGCCAGGCUGGUCUUGAACUCCUGGCCUCAAGUGAUCCACCCACCUCAGCCUCCCAAAGUGCUGGGAUUACAGGCAUGAACCACCACGCUCAGCCAGGCUAAUGGCCUUUCCUCCUGCUGUAGUAGAGAUUUCCUCCUCCCAAAUGGAAGAUGUGCUGACCCUAUGGAACAGAGCCAAGAUGAAAAGGGCCACCUUAUCCCCACCAGUGUACCCUCAGCCGGCUCUCAGUUCCCCCUCAGCUCACCCUCCACUAGCCCUGCACAGCUCUGCUCACUUAGCAGUUUCUAUGUGACAGCUCUUCACUUUGCCUGAGCAUCUAAGGCGGCUGCCAGACUAGGUAAUGCUUUUGUUUAUUGAGGAUGUGGUGUCAGGAUCACCCAGCUGCCAUUGACUUUAAUUAACACUCCUCCAGGCUGUGAAACUUCAUUACCUGAAGCUAGUGACAGCACAAAGUCGUGAGAAUCUUUGGAACCCAUCCAGUCUAGCCUAGAAAACACCAGAGGAGCCAUGAUGACCAUCCCUAAGGGGUUUUGGAAGUUGUUUCUUGAGAUAGUGACCCUGGUGGUGAAUGGUCCCACUUCUACUUCCUCCACCAACCCACAGUCCUGUGAUAAUGCAGCACAGUUGCAUAUACACCAUAGAAUUUAAACACAAUACAACUUGGUGGCCUGGAAACAGUUAAUUUGAUGUGUGAAUUGGUUUAAAGUUUUGUCUGAUCUGAUCAUUUGGUUGUGCUCAGUUCCUCUUGACCAUUACCACUUGGUCUCCCAGAUGCAUGUUCUCCUCUCAGCCCACUUCCCUCCCUAAGGUGGUAUAUGGAGCAGGGGUGAGGCUUAUGCACAUCUUUUGUGGUAGGGAAUAGCUGUGAUGCUUAAAGGGGUUCUGGUCUUUAAGCCAGAGGGGUGAGAUCUCUGGUCUGCCUGGGACCUUCUCACCCUGCUAGCAUUUGCAGUGUUAGCCUAUGGCUACAUAACUUGUGAACUGGUUUCUGUACCUGGCUAGAGCCCUGCCUGCUGGGACUAGAUCCCUUCUGAAGUCUAGCUGUGACUCUCACUGGUCUGACACGAGCAUCCAUUAUAGCCCUACAGAUCCACCUCUUCCCUGCUGCUAUGACCUCUGGGCAGCCACUUCUCUGCAGACUCCAUCAGUCACUGGGGUCUUGCAAAUACUCCCCUGGAAGUGAAGAAGGCUCAGCUGAGCUCACCUGACCAUCCUGUGUAGCCCAGGUGACUGUGAGGUGAUGGCAUCCCAGGCUGGUACAGGAAAGCCUAUGAGGAUGGGAGGAAUAUCACCCUUUUCCCACAGGCCCUCAGAAUAGAAAGGGGGGCUUUUCUUUUAGCUUCCUUUGGUCAUUCUGUUAGUUUCCUGUGGCUGAACAAAUACCACUCACUGGGUAUCCUGGACAACAGAAAUGUAUUGUCUCACAGUUCUGGAGGCUGGAAGUUCAAGAUGAAGGUGUCGGCAGGGUUGGUUCUUUCUAAGGGCUCUGAAGGAAAGAUCUGUUCCAGGCCUCUUUCCUUGGCUUGUAGAUCUUCACGUUCACAUGGCGUGCUACUAGAUGGCUGCCUGUGUCCAUAUCUCACCUUUUUGUAACAACAUCAGUCAUGUGGAUUAGGGACCACCCUCAUGACUUCAUUUUUACCUGAUUACCUCUUUAAGGCCCUGUCUCCAAAGGAGUUCACAUUCUGAGGUAUAGGAGGUUAGGACUUCAACCUAUGAAUCUUGGGUAGAUAGAAUGCAACCCAUGACGGUUAAAGUCCACUUCUCUCAUACAACUCAGGUUGUAGAGUUAUCCGCACCAUGUAGCUGUCAUGAGCCAAAUGGGUUACCUUCUCUUCAUUAGGGAGAUAACUCUGUAAUGAGAAUCAUCCAGGCUUGAUGGCUGAUAUGCCCAGACCAGGAGACAUAUUUAGAAAAUCCUUUAUUAAAGCUGUAGCCUAGUCACAAGACCAUUGCCUUUGUACUUAAUCCUACAAUAUAGGUCAAAAUCUGAAUAUUAAUUAAGUCUUUUACUUUGCGUUUUUUUCUGUGACAUUCUUAAUCUUUCCCCAGUCAACACCUCCUUCCCUCAACUGGUGUCUGCCCCCAGGCAAAUGGUUGCUCACAACCAGCUAUGAAAAAGUCAUGAAAUUAGAAAGGCAAAACACAGAGUAUCACCAACCUUUCAAAUAUCCCCAUUACAACCAAUUGAUGGGUAAAGUCAGUAACCUUUGGCGGGAAGAAACAAUCUUGUUGCUCCUCUAUUUGCCAAGCUGAUUUUUAGUCAAUUGCUUACUGACACCCAAGGAUCCUGUUUUUUAGUAGUAUUAGUCAUCGAGAGAAUCUGGUAUCCAGAUUGGAGAGAGAUCAAUCUGAAUUUAGGAAAAACACGUAUAAUUCAAGAAACGAAUAGAUUCAGGAAGCUAAGGAAGUAAGAGCAGCAUACGACUAAGAAAUAAAACUAAAAUUCUAAGCCCCACACAGACUGAACAGACUCCCUCUUGGCCUAAGGUACCCCAGAGAAACCUUGGAAGUGGAAUUCCCAGCUAUGGUGGGAUGGGAGAUUAGACCAGCUUUGUUACAUGCUCUUCCUCCCUAGUUGCCAUUAGGCUUUCCUCUCCAGGGGCUAAACAGAAACUAGCCCUUUCAAAAGACUCCACGAGAGACUUCAACCAUGACUGCUGCCCCUCUUUUCUGUAGUUUCAACGGGAGAACCAACCAGCAUUCCUUCCUGUUAAGAGACCACCAACCACAGAGUGGUUCUGGCCAGUCUAUGGAGGAUGUGCAACAAGAGUUGUCCUCUGCUCCACCUUUUGACAUCAGAAGGCUGAAAACCCCACCCUUGGAUCAUGUUAAUGCUGCCAUUUGUUCAACAUGGGUCCCAUGGAGAGGCGUGAAGCUCAAUUGUGCAUGUGUGUGUUUCUCCUUUCAUAAAUAUUCAUGACUGCUCCUAUAGCUUAUGGAAUGUAUGUAUUUGGCCACUCCAUCCAGCAUCAAUCCCUGUCUUAUUCUUCUGAUCCUUGAGGUGCCUGUUUUCAGCUUCUGGCCAGAGGCUAUACUUCCCAGGCCAUCAGAAUGGCCAUCCUAUACUUUAUAAGAAAUAAAGCUCUCCUUUCCAGAUUUAUGAACCUCUUCUUCAGUUGAUGUGAUAAAAUGUUGAAAGCAAAUAAUAGACUAAAGGUGAGUGGUUGGAAGUCUUUCUGCAUCAUUUUCUCCCCCACCUUCCCCUUGUUCCUCAAUUCUUUCUUUUUCUCUUCCUACUCGCUCUCUCUCUCUCUCUCUUUCAGAUCGAAUCAUGCUCUGUCACCCAGGCUGGACUGCAGUGGUGUAAUCUUGGCUCACUACAACCUCUGCCUCCUUGCUUCAAGCAAUACUUCUGCCUCAGCCUCCUGAGUAGCUGGAAUUACAGGAAAGAAAGGAGGAGUCGUGUUGGUUCAAUCAACAAAUAUUCUGUUCAUCUGGGCAAGGCUUUAUAGCAGGUGUUGCAAGGGCCCUGAAAGAUGAAGAGGCAGUCCUGGCCCCGGAAUGUGUCCUCACGGAGGCGAUCUCAAUUAGCUGGCAAAGAACAGAGGAUGUGUAAACCAAUUUACAUUUAGAAGUGUAUCCAGGCCGGGCACUGUGGCUCACGCCUGUAAUCCCAGCACUUAGGGAGGCCAAGGCGAGUGGAUCACUUGAGGCCGGGAGUUUGAGACCAGCUUGGCCAACAUGGCGAAUCCCUGUCUCUACUAAAAAUACAAAAAUUAACCAGGCAUGGUGGUGGGUGCCUGCAAUCCCAGCUACUCGGGAGGGCGAGGCAGGAGAAUUGCUUGAACCCGGGAUUCAGUGAGUCGAGGUCACACCAUCGCACUCCAGCCGGGGUGACAAGAGUGAAACUCCAUCUCAAAAGCAAACAAGUGUAUCCAUUUGCACUGGCUACCGUAAGAACAUGCCAGAAUUGGGGACUUAACAGAAACUUAUGUUCUGACACAGCUGGAGACUUGAAGGCCAAGGUUAAGUUGUCGGCAAGGUUGGUUUCCCUGCGGCCUCUCCCUGGUUUUCCGAUGCUGUCUCCUCCCUGUGUCCACAUAAUCUUCUCUCUGCGUGAAGCAGCAUCCUAAUCUCCCCUUCUCAUAAAAGCGCCAGUCAGAUUGAAUUGGAAUCUGCCCUAGAGCCUUGUUUUAACUUAAUUACCUCUUCGAAGACCCUAUCUGCAAAUACAGUUACAUUUGGAGGUCCUGGGGGUUAGGAUUUCAACAUAUGAAUUUGGGGGCACAUAUCCCAUAACAAGGAGAUAAUGAGAAAUAAUCCCCCUCUUUUAAAAUUCUUUGCAUGUGUAAAGAGGAUGCUGAAGGAGAGAAAAGUGUAAAGCCAAGGAUGUCUGAAGGAUUUAGGAUCUCAAGACCAGUUGGACAUGGGGGUAUUUUUGGCUGGGGACCCUCUUGGCACUCCUCACAUACCAACAUAUAGACAACCACCUGCUCUGCCCGCGAACACGGCUGGCACUGGGUAGACAGACCACAUUUUCAUCCUCUUUCUGGAUUCCAAAGAAAUAAAGCAGCCUCACCUUCCUGCCUCUAAUGAACAGCAGGAUUUUUUAACUGGUUCCUUAUAUGGCAGCUGUUCCAGCUCUGCCUAGAGAAUUUAAGCCGUCAGCCUGGCCAACUGUUGAAUACCACAGGGAGAGGCAUUAUUUGGCUCCCAGGAAAUAAGAACUCCAAAAUACCUACAACCGCAGGGCGUAGUCCUGAAAUGACUGCCACUUCUCCAAGCCAUGAAGCCAGACUCUGCUCCCACUGUGGCGAGUUGUAGAGAAGUAAAUGACUGCCUGUGUUUUUGUGGGGUAGAGAAAUGAGCUUUUUAGCUUUCUGUAAAAAGAGCGGGGUUCCUGCCUUGGGUAAUUCAAACUCGUUGCGAGAAUAUGGAACACGUCGUUGGCAGAAAACAGAGGCUUUCUCGUUGUUCUCAGUAUGAGAACCAUUUCCAGAAAGACAACUCUAAGAAAUGAUGUUUAGAUGAGCUCUGAAUGAGGAAGAACUAGAAUUAUCAAAAUCUGAGCAAGAAUGUCCAAGCAGGGGAAACAUCAAGAAAGAUGUGUUGGGAUCCAGUGGGCAGAGUCCAGGGCACUUUUGGUAAAGAGGUAGAAUUAUGAAGCCCUUUUUUGCUGCUCCCUAUGUUUUCUACCAUCUGCUUCCAUAUUCCAGCUAGUUAGAUUCCACCUGCUGCUUCAGCCAUGUCAUUUGUCUUCAGCUCCUGCCCUGGGCUCCUCUGUGACAUUGCCCUGAACCGAACAGCUGUUGUUUCAGGACAGGCUGCAUUUCUGACUGUCUUUCUGGCAUGGUUCAAUCGGUCACACAGACUCCAUGACCCUGUGCCCCAUGCCCUUGAAUGGAGAUGUGGGUUGCUGCUGGCACCAGGCCCCUGCCCAUCCCGUGGAUGACACGUCUGACCCACGUCCCCUCAUGCCCUCCUGCUGACAAGACUGUGCUCACCAGCUUUGAUAAAACCAAAGAGUGGGGAACAGCUUCUGGUCACCUGCUGGAGAGGCAGCAUCUACACAGGGUGGCCUCUGUCCCCUCCUUGGCUGUUGGCUUUUUACACGUCAGUGUCCUCAUUUCCCCCACAAGACCAAGGGCGCCUGACACUCCGUGUUACUCAGUGACUUCAUUUGUGAAGAGAAGGGAAACAGGGCCAGUGCUGUGUUUCUCUAACACCGAGAUCGACCUUUCAACACCAGAACAGCUGGUAGAAGGACACAGUUUUCCUCAUCCUCACAGCUCUGGAGAAGAGGAAGAAAACACUCCCAGUUAAAUAAAAAGCUUCAAAAGGCAUCGUAAAUUCCCAUAGCGGGAUAUUUAAAGAAUGAUUUUAACGAUCAGACUAAAUAAGGCGACCUGACUCCGUGCCUGGAAAACUCACCCGGCUCAGGAGAGCUUUGUCAUUAUUACCUCAUCUGAGAGCCACUUAACCCAGGCAGGCCCUGGACAUGCCUUGCUGCCUGAUCUCAUGCGGGACUGCUGGUGCAGCGCAGGCAGGUGGCAGGCUGGCCCUGCCUCCUCACAGGCCCUGCCUGGUCACCACUGUUCGGAUCCCAUUCUUGUUUCUGUGCUGCUCAGAGAGCAUAGAGGACACCUGCAUGAACAGCAGCCGAGGCAGGGUCAAGGCAGGGGGUGGGCGCAGGUGUGCUCCUCCUUUCUGUCCAUUCCUGCUGGGGGGCAUUUCUCUAGGGAGAGGGAGUUAGGGUUUCUCUGCAGCAAGAAACCCCCUUUCCCUUCCUCUCCAUGAUUUUGUGAGGAUUCCCGAUUCUGGCUCACGUGGUCCAAGUCCAUUCAGAGAUGCAGGUGUGAACCAAGCCCCUGCCACUGACUUACUGUGUUAGCGAAUAAAUCACUAAGACUCUUUGGACAAUUUGGGGACAUUUAGGGGCCUUCCAGUUUGCAGUAUUCUGUAAUUCUGACAGCUCUCUGGGUGUCCAUGGGUAAUGCACAAUUUUGCCUUUUAUUGGCAGGCGCUGAGGAUCAUAUUGAUUUGGUUUGGUCUGAGAAGCAAGGAGGCCCAGGCACGCAUCUUCUCCUAAUUAAUUUUUCAUGCUCCAUGGCAGCGAUUCCUCCUACAGCCAGGAGAGGCUGUGCAGCGGCUUCUCUGAUGCUUUUUUUUUUUUUUUUUUUAGCAUUGGUUGUCAGCAGAAAUGGCCCACCUCCUGGUCCUGCAGUCCCAGUGGGUGUCUGGGGAGGGGACACAGCUGUCCCUUCUGUCUUCUCAAAGACAGAUGGCAGGGAGGAAUUGGGGGACGGGACGGGGGGAGAGAGAAAGGAAGACAGAAAGGGAGAGGGCAGGAAAGAGGAAGAGAAGAGAGAGAGAGAGAGAGAGAGAGAGAAUGGCUUGAAUAAUUGAAUGAGAAUUGUCUUCCCCAAGUUCGGCAUGGUGGCUCAUGCCUGUAAUCCCAACACUUUGGGAGGCUGAGGCAGAUGGAUCACUCGAGGUCAGGAGUUUGAGAGCAGCUUGGCCAACGUGGUGAAAUCCCAUCUCUACUAAAAAUACAAAAAUUAGCUGGGCAUGGUGGCGCACGCCUGUAAUCCCAGCUACUCAGGCAGGAGAAUGGCUUGAACCUGGGAGGCGGAGGUUGCAGUGAGCCAAGACUGCGCCACUGUAUUCCAGCCUGGGCGACAGAGUGAGACUGUCUCAAAAAAAAAAAAAAAAAAAAAAGCAACAACAACAAAAAAGAGAAUUAUCUUCCCUGAAAAUGAAAAGGAUUGUUUCCCAGCAGGAAAGCACUGGAGCCCCGGCACCCCCGAUGGCUUCCUCUGGGUCAAUGACAGCAUAGCUGCAAUGUGAGCUCCUGUUGGUUUUCUUCACUGAAGUAGGGCUGCUUUUGCCGUGAGUUAAGACAUCAACCUAUUUUGAUCUUUCCAAAUAGUCACUGAAAAUAGUGGGGUGCAUCCCCACAUGCUCUCAGAGGGCUGUUUUUCUCUUACGGAGAAGUCCUGUGGGUCUUGUCCCACGGGGCCAUGGAGAUGUGGUUGGCACAGGGGACACCCCUUCAUGCUUAGAGCACAAUCGUACUGCUGUGGACUUGCUUUGUCUGAGCUCCACCAGGCUGUGAACGCUCUGGAGAGAGGAAGUCUGUUUUGUUUGUCUGGCUCCCAGGACCCCAUCCAAAAUCAGGAACCUAGGAGGUAUCCAUCAAACAGUUGUUCAGUGGAUGGGAAAUAAAGGAACAUAAAUAUGACCCUUGCUGGCUGGGCGCAGUGGCUCAUGCCUGUAAUCCCAGCACUUUGGGAGGCUGAGACGAGCGAAUCACGAGGUCAGGAGUUCAAGACAAGCCUGGCCAAAAUGGUGAAACCCCGUCUCUACUAAAAAUACAAAAAUUAGCCGGGCAUGGUGGCAUGUGCCUAUAAUCUCAACUACUCAGGAGGCUGAGGCAGGAGGAUCGCUUGAACUCAGGAGGCAUAGGUUGCAGUGAGCUGAGAUUAUGCCACCGCACUCCAGCCUGGAUGACAGAGCAAGACUCUGUUUCAAAAAAAGACUCUUGCUUGUAUCUUCCCUGGGCCUCCCAGGCUCUGGCACUUAGACAAAUGGUUCCAGUCUACAGAAGAUGAUUCUGUAGCACUGUGGUUUAGGAGCACAGGGCAGAGGUUCAGCCCAAUGAUCGCCCUUCAGUGCGUCAAAUGCCCUGUGCUUCACUGCCAGCCUUUUUGAGGUGGCUGAGAAAGUUUACAUUCAAUGUCAAAAUGCUCUCCUUGGGGAACAUCUAACAUGGUUCCCUUGAGAAAGUAAGUUAAUUUCUCAGGUUGCUGCUGGUCAGUGUCCCUCUCACUGCCUGCUAGGAAUCCUGCUUUCCAAGCCUGCACGCCUCUUACCAUGUUGUUCUCACCCACUGUUGAGUCACUUCUUGUAAGAAUAGAAAUAGUGGCCAGGUGUGGUGGCUCACGCCUGUAAUCCCAGCACUUUGGGAGGCCGAGGCAGGUAGAUCACCUGAGAUCAGGAGUUUGAGACCAGCCUGACCAACAUGGAGAAACCUUGCCUCUAAUAAUAAUAUAAAAAUUAGCCAGGUUUGGUGGCAGGUGCCUAUAAUCCCAGCCCCUUGAGAGGCUGAGGCAGGAGAAUCCCUUGAACCCAGGAGGAAGAGGUCACGGUGAGUCAAGAUUACACCACUGCACUCCAGCCUGGGCAACAAGAGUGAAACUGUGUCUUAAAAAAAAAAAGAAAGAAUAGAAAUGGUAGAUGGUGCUGGUGGCUCACACCUAUGAUCCCAUUGCUUUGAGAGUCCAAGGCAGGAGGAUUUCUUGAGGCCAGGAAUUCAAGACCAGCCUAGCUAGCCUGCGCAACUUAGCAAGACUCCAUCUCCUCCCUGCCCCCCCCACCUUUUUUUUAAGAGAUAGUCUUCCUACGUUGACCAGACUGGUCUUGAACUCCUGGCCUCAAGUGAUCCUCCCAUCUUGGUCUCCCAAUAUGCUAGGAUUACAGGUGUGAGCCACUGCACCCAGCCUAACAAAAUAUUUUUAACUCAGCUGGGCAUGGUGGCUCACUCCUGUAGUUCCAGCUACUUGGAGGCUAAGAUGGGACAAUUACUUGAGCCCAGGAGUUCCAGGAUGCCUUAAGCCAUAAUCAUGCCACUGUAAUCCAGCAUGGAUGGCAGAGCCAGACCCUGUCAAAAGAAGGAAGGAAAGAGAGAGAGAGAGAGAAAGAAAGGAAGAAAUAAAGAAGGGAAGGAAGGAAGGAAGAAAAAGCAGAAGGAAGGAAGGAAGAAGGGAAGGAAGGAAGGAAAGAAGGGGAAAAGAAAGAAAAAGAAAAGAAAAAACAGUAAGGGCGGUGGGGGAAGAAGGAUGAAGAGAGGGUGGUAAUGGGUACAGACAUAUAGUUAGAAGAAAUAAGUUCAGAGGUUUGAUAGCACACUAGGGUGAUGAUACUUAGCAUCAAUGUUAUGCAUAUUUUGAAGUAACUAGAAGAGAGGAAUUGAAAUGAAGCCAACACAAAAAUGAUAAACACUCAAGGUGAGGAAUAUCCCAAUUACCCUGACUUGAUCAUUACACGUUCGUUGCAUGGAGCAAACACUCACAUGUACCUCAUAUACUCACAUGUACUAAUUUACAUUAGUACAUUAGUAUACAUCAAUAAAAGGAAAACCAGAUAAUGAAAAAAUAGAAAUGGAAUAGAUUAAAGAAUAGAAAUUGAAAAGCAAGUAUAGUAAGUGGUGGGGGGAGGGUGAUAAAGUGAAGUGAGUUGCUUCAGAAUGCAGUGCUCACCUUUGUCACUGUCCAUUGGUUACCACGAAGGACUUGAAAUUGUCAUUUUUUUUCUGGAUAAAACAAAGGGAAGGUAGGUAUAUAUUCUGGUAUCUCCCCAUUUCUUUCUCUUAUGCCUGAGGUUUCUCGAUGAGUUUUGUUAAGUUCAUUUGCAACCCGUUUGGAAACAGAGCGUCAGCUUGUUCUCUCUCUCUCUUCUCUCCAUUCUUGCCUGGGCUGGGACUCUGUUUCCCGGGGUGAUGGCAGAUUGGCCAUUGAGCUGCAUCCUUGGUGGCUUUUCCUUCUUCAUCUCAUUGCCAAUGAGGACACCGAGGAGGAAAAGGAGAAAACCAACCACCAUCCACCGUCACUAAAUGAGCACGCCAGGUUGCCAUGCUGCACAGCUCCAGCCAUAUGGCCAAGAUGGAUGGAUCCCUGACGAGGCAUCCAGUGAGCCUGCAUGGCCUGGGCAGCCCUGAAGUCAAUAAUCCUGCAAAAAAGUCAUUCCUUCCCAGCAGAAGUCAGUGGGCUAUCUUCCACAGACAGCCACGAAAUUUCCCUCCUUUUCCUUCCAUGAAGGGCUGGUGAAAACGUCAUCAUGGAUCUGACCUGCAUCUGGAGACCAUCCUUCAGAGGCGCCACAGAGCUCCUUUCUGCCCGGGCAUUUACGGUGCGUGAGAACUUGGAGAGGCGAGCUCUCAAGGGAGUUGGGGUUUUGACUUUGCCAUGACUACUCAGGCCAGGAUGAAGGCUGAUACUUAACAUGUGCAUCCUUUGAUUGACCCUUCAAUCCUCACAAUAACCCCAUGUCACCAGGAGGAAACUGAGGCAAACUCCACACAACUGGCAAAUCAGGUGUGACUCUCAUUCCAUCACAGCACUUUGCUGGGCACACACCGGAAACCAGAUGCUCAGUUCCGUAUGCAUACGGGAACAGGCUGAGGCUUCAGACCUUUGGCUCAGCACUUGCGGGGUCUCCCACGAGGUCUCCCACCCACAGUGGAAGCAUUGGAGGAGCCACAGAGACAGAAGUGAGGGGUGGCAGGUGAGGGCAGCGUGAUGUUUCUUCCUCUCUCAGCCAGGUUCGGUCCCUUCUUGCUCCAAGGGACAGGCUGUGCUCCUGUGGGAAGCCUCUGACCUCACUGCAGUGAGAACGGCAAAGAGAGGAGGCGACCCAGCUGGCCUUCUGCCUACUACGGCUGCGCAGCAGGAUGAGCUACACUUACUGGCCAAACCCGACGGCGGGCCUUCGUUGCUGCUUUUCUAUCCCUUAGUAGUUUAUAAAUGUUCCUUUCUCUUUUGCAGCUUUGAACUACACACCAUUCUUUAAAGAAUGUCAAAGUAAAAGUGGAUACAAAAGAAUAUCUCUCACCAUCAUGCCAUAUCAGUUUUUACGUGUAAUUUUGUGGCUAUGCUUUCCAACCAGAGAUUAGUGUUAUAAUAUUCCGGAGUGAAAAGCGUAAAAGAGUUAUUGCCACUGAGAUGUAAAUAUGGAUAAACACCCUUUUAGAAUCCAGUGAUUUCGUCAGGCUUUCAGGAAUACUUGCUUGUCAUUUUAUAUUUGCAAUGAAACUGAAAAAUAGACCUGAAAUUAUACAAAAAUGCAUCGAGGAGUGCCCUGUGUCUAUGUUCUCCUAGUUUUUGAAGGCAAAUUCUCUAUGAAUAGGACUUAGAGGGAUUCUAAUUGAUCUUACAAUUGAGUUUCCAGUAACUGGACAUAACUUUUAGUCUUCUUUAGUUCAAAUCAUCAUUUCGUGUCUUCUUCGUUACAAUUACUGGUGCUGGAAAAUAAAAUGCAAUCCACUGUGAUUCGUGUGUAGAAUGCUGGUUAGUUCAGCUCCAAAGAGCAAAUAAGAUGUUCUAUGCACAGCUGUCUCCUGGGCCUGCUCAUAAUAGGUAUUCAGUAAAUAUUUGUUGAAUGAUUAAAUAAGUGAAUGAGCGAAUGGAUACAAGGGUGCUGCUAUGUAGCAUAUGUAACUUGAUUAAUUAUCGUGUGUGUUUUUUACUGUCUCUCUCCCCUCAAUAGGAUGACGGCCUCUUGAGGGCAGAGGUUUUCGUAUGAUUUGUUCACAGGUGUAUCCCAGGCACAUAGUGUGAUGACUGGCAUGUGAGAUACUCGGCAAAUAUUUCUUGAACCAUUAAUGAGUCUGAGGCUGUAGCCACAGAUUGCACUUUCUAUCUCAGCCAGAUGGUUCUUAAAUGUAUAUCUUCAGUCAUAAAGGGAAUUGGGAGAAAUAUUUUAGAUGUGUUAAAGAAUGAGAGCAGAUUGCUCGCCGCUCCUGGUCUCUUUACACAAAUGAGUCUGCCCACAAGAGCCCUCACUGGAAAUGUGUGACAGGCGACUGUAGACCGCAGCGUUUCUCUCUCAGGAAUUCCUUCAGGCCACCUUUAGUUUGUGUGCUGUGCAGAUUCUCACCUUUUGUUUUUCACUUUUUGGUUCCUCACCACACUCAUUUCUCAUGAAAGCAGGGACUCAAACAGAUGCGUAUGCCCACGUUCGUUGUGUGCUGUUCACAGCAGCCAAAAGGUAGAGGCAACCCACAGUGAAUGAAUGGGUAAACACAGGGUGGUACAUGAAUACAGUGGAGAAUUACUCAGACUUUAAACAGGAAGGAAAUUCUGACACCUGCUGCAACAUGGUUGGAUCUUGAAGACAUUAUGCUGAGUGAAUAGGCCAGUCACAAAAGGGCAAAUACAGGCUGGAUAUGGCUCACACCUGUAAUCUCAGCAUUUUGGGAGGCUGAGGUGGGCGAUUCAAGGUCAAGAGUUCCAGACCAGCCUGGCCAACAUGGUGAAACCCCAUCUCUCCUAAAAAUACAAAAAUUAGCUGGAGGUGGUGGCACAUGCCUAUAAUCCCAUCUACUCGGAGGGCUGAGGCAGGAGAAUCACUUGAACUGGGGAGGCGGAGGAUGUAGUGAACUGAGAUCCCAACACUGUACUGCAGCCUGGGUGACAGAGCAAGAAAGACUCCAUCUCAAAAAAAAAAAAUACUGUGGUUAAAAUGGUAACAUUUAUGUCAUGUAUAAUUUUAUCACAGUAAUAAAUAGUCUUUAAAAAGACCCGUCCAUAACCACCCAUUUGGGCUCUAUGGCUCCACCCAUGCCUUUGGCUUUGACUUGAGGUCCUAUUUCUGAAUAAAUUUUCAGGUAUGAAUCUUGGCGAGACUCGAGGACAGAGCUGUGUCCCUGACUCAGGUUCGAUUGGCACCUUCUCUCGGUCACCAUCUCAAACCUAAAGCAAAGAACCCACUCUUAGAUGUCGUCUUGGUUUCAGUCAGGGGCCAGCACAGGAGCGUUCUUUACUACGGUUUUCAGUUAAGCGUUCCGCUUUUUGCGGGUCCCUCAGAGAAGGUGAAAGGAUUAAUAGAAGAUGAAAGGGCUGGAAGCUAUAGAUUGUGAUUAUUGUACUAUUAAGAUGGUGUUGCUGCUAGGAAGGAAAUGACUCAAUACGAGACAUAUGUAUACACACACAUACGCUUUGAGUCUAUAUAGAAAUGAGUCGGUGCUUUCGGAAGUUGCUGACAUAUUAUCCUAGAGCACGUGUGUUAUGAAGGCAGGGAUGUUUUCAUUUUGUUCAUUGUUUUAUUCCCACUGUGCCUGUUAUGGAGUAGGUGCCCAAUCAACAUUUGUUAAGUGGAUGAAUGAUGUACAUUUUAAACACACACACACACACACACACACACACACACACACACACACACACACACAGAUUGAGAGACAGAGUCAUUGCUGCUUCUGGCUUAGUGCCAAAAAGAGUUACCUGCAGAGAAACUCAAAUCUAUUAGAGCGUUCAGCUUGUGACAGGCUUUCUUUCCUCCCACACCAUAAUUGUGUACUGUUGUAAAUGAUGUCUCUUCCCAUGCUUUGGAAUGUCGCCUUCUUGCCCAGGCUGGAGUGCAGUGACGCCAUCUCCGCUCACUGCAACCUCCACCUCCCAGGUUCAAGCGAUUCUCCUGCCUCAACUGGGAUUACAGGCACCUGCCACUGCCACCAGCUAGUUUUUGUAUUUUUAGUAGAGAAGGAGUUUCGUCAUGUUGGUUGGGCUAGUCUCGAACUCCUGACCUUAGGUGAUCCCACCCAUCUCGGCCUCCCAAAGUGCUGGGAUUACAGCCGUGAGCCACCACGCCCGGCCAAUUCUCCCUUUCUAUACUGUUUUGCAUAUUUUCAUUUUAUGAUCAGGUUGGAAGAUGAAUUUUAAGGGAGUUAUUACCUAUGUUUAGAGUACAUAAAGAAGAAAAACACUGAAAUUUUCUUUGUACAGUUUUAAUGCUCUCAUGGCAAUUAAACAAUUAUUUAAGCAGGAUGUAAAAAGUCAUGCAGAGCGUGGAUGUAUUUGAGACACAGGUCACAUGAUAAUUAUUGGUGUUAGUAAUACAGUUAGUACAUGAACCCAAUAUUUGUUCAUCAUUACGUAAUUCAUUUUGUUAGUUGACUUUGGGUGAUUCCUCUAAGGAAUAUAAGUGACCACACUUUUUUUUUUUUUUUUUUUUUGAGAUGGUGUGUUGCUCUGUUGCCCAGGUUGGAGUCCAAUGGCACAAUCUUGGCUCACCGCAACCUCCACCUCCCGGGUUCAAGCAAUUCGCCUGCAUCAACCUCCUGAGUAGAUGGGACUACAGGUGUGUAUCACCAUACCUCUCUAAUUUUUUGUAUUUUUGGUAGAGACAGGGUUUCUCCAUGUUGAUCAGACUGGUCUCGAACCCCUGACCUCAGGUGAUCCACCUACCUCAGCCUCCCAAAGUUCUGGGAUUACAGGCAUGAGCCACUGUGCCCGGCCUACAUAUUAUUAAUUCUCAUAACAUUCUUGGGAGCUAAAUAUUGUCGUUCAGCAGUAACAGCAUCUCAGAUGUUAACUGAUUGGCCAUACAAUAAAGGGGCUUUAUUUAUAAACAUUCAGGAACAGUGAAAAAUUAAUGGUACAUAUAUUUUCUAUUUAGAAUUGCUCUCAAAAAUUCAUGCCUGGUCCAUUUUAUCAAGCAAAUGUGCAGCAUGUUUCCCCUAUAAUUCUAGCUUUUCUUUCUAUACAAGAUUGAGCUGCAGUAUUGUGCCUCUCAGGCAGUGAGUCUCAGGGCAACUUUGUGGUGGGGACACCCAUACUGUGUUUUCCACUCCAUGGGGACCUCGGACUUCCUGAAUGCCCAGAAAAGAGAGAAAAGAGAGGCCGGGCACAGUGGCUCAUGCCUGUAAUCCCAGCCCUUUGGGAGGCCAAGGCAGGUGGAUCACAAGGUCAGGAGAUCAGGACCAUCCUGGCCAACAUGGUGAAACUCCAUCUCUACUAAAACUACAAAGAAUUAGACGGGCGUGGUGGUGCACGCCUGUAGUCCCAGCUUCUCAGGAGGCUGAGGCAGGAGAAUUGCUUGAACCCAGUGAGCUCAGACUGUGCCACUGCACUGCAGCCUGGUGACAGAGCAAGACUCUGUCUCAACAAAAAGAAAAAGAAAAGAGAGAUAUUGAAAGGAAAGGUUAAGUUCUUGAAUUCCUAUUUAAAUUCUGUGAUGCCAAAGGGGUUAGAUCGUUGCCAAAAGCUUACGCAACUGAGCUGAAAAUAAAGCUUAAUUGGAAAUGAUAUAGCGAGAGAACAAGAGUUGGGUCAGCAGGUAGGAGUUGGUGGUAUGCACUCCCUCUCUUUCGUUUCCCUGAGGCCUCUUGGAGGAUCUCUUUCCCUCUCCUGACUCCACGUGUCCAUCACCUGCCUCUGUUCACGCUUCAUGGCAGCAUCAGCAAAGGCAAGUCAGCCAGGGAGGGCCGCUGAGAACUGAGGUUCCAAAACAGGGGGAGCAGAAGGGGAGGGCUUGGUUUUUAAACUACUUCAGUUCUUCCUCCUCCUCUCUCCCUCUCUCUGCUGCCUUUCCCGGCUCAUUUCAUUUUCCUGUGCUGCCAUUCUUUCUAAGUGCAACCACAAAGACACUUUAAUAUAGCAUUAAAAAUCCAGUUACCGAAAAUCAAUUUGCCUAUGCAAACUAUGGAUGCAGGAUAAACAGGAUGCUCAUUCUCUAACCAUCUGAGGACUCUCAGCAGGAAAGGCAGAAAUGCUGUGGGGAGACAUUGACGUCCUACAUCCAUCCUGUGAUCUUCCUUGUCCUGUUCAUAAGUGGCGGAAUGAGAGCAACUUGACCUUGACAAUCAGGGCUGGAGAGGCCAUUGUUGGGCUUAGGAACCCACAGGUAGAGAUAAUACUGCAGAUAGAAAGUGCUUCAAACACAGUAACUGCGUCCACGGCCCAGAGAACAGGUAUAACACACAAGGAGCAGGGCUGUGGCUAAUGUGUUGGCAUCUGGGGCUAAUAUUUCUUAAAAUGAUGUAAUCUAGAGGUAGAAAAACAACUAUCUUGUCCAAAAUGAAUGAUGAAGAGCUGAAGUCACUAUCGAAAGGACAGCAGCCUACUAACCAACAGACAAAGUAAAACAUUUUCUAAUCCUGUGUUAGAUAUACAUUUUAAGUGAUUUAAAAACAAAUCUCACAUAACCUCACAACAAUCCUCUAAUGUAGGCAGGAAACUAUUACCACCCUCGUGUGACAAGGAGAUCAGCUAAGUGCCUUGCCAAAGUCACCUGGCAUUCACGUCUAUCUGUGCUGCUGCAGUCUCUCUCACCCUGGGAACCUGCUUAUUUCUGAAUCAUUCGAAUUGCGGGUCACCCGUGCCUGGGCGGGGUACCUCCCGCUUCUUUCAAGCCUGCAGAUUCCUCCUCUCCUUUCCCACCAUGUUCUCACUAGCCCAGGUCCCUGUGGCCUCACUUUUGGUUACCUGUCAAGAGCCCCCUAGCUAAGGUCUAUCUCUUCUUACAGGCUCCUCCAUUCCCAAGGCUGUGGGACACAAUUUUAAUUCUUCCUGAUGUCACUGUCAUCCCCAGAUGUCCCUGCAGUGCCCAGCACACAGUAGGUGUUGAAUCAACCUUUGGUAAUGGAUAUCUUUCCACUCUAAGACUCCACUGCCCUGUCUGCCCCUCCAAGUUCAUCAUCUAGCCCUGUUUUCUCUCAUUUCACUGAGCCAAGACGCAGGCAGCCUUCCACCUUCACACCCAAACUUGCUCUUCAUCUGGAAGGUAGUAUGCUCUUGAAACUACCUUUGCAAAUUUAUAACAAUAGGAGAAAUAUGACAUAGUUGACUCCAUCUUUCUAUUUGUUUAUUUAUUUUUUGAGAUGGAGUCUCUUUGGUCCAGGUUGUCCAGGUUGGAGUGUAGUGGCACGAUCUGGGCUCACUGCAACCGCUGUGCGGGUUCAAGCAAUUCUCCUGCCUCAGGCUCCCAAGUAGUUGGGAUUAUAGGUGCCUGCUACUGUGCCUGGCUAAUUUUUGUUUUUUUUGGUAGAGAUGGGGUUUCGCCAUCUUGGCCAGGCUGGUCUUGAACUUCUGACCUCGUGAUCCAUCCUUUUUGGUUUCCCAAAGUGCUGGGAUUAGAGGCAUGAGCCACCGCACCCGGCCCUCCAUCUUUCUUUUAACCUCCAAGCUGUCCUUUGUCAUCCCUGGGUAUAGGCCAAGAUAACUUUGGUAGAAAUUCAGUUUAUAGUUUAACCGUAAAGCAAGGAUGAUAAUAGCCCUUCCCCAAAACUAACCUGACUUUGUAAAACCAAUGAAAGGCUUCAAGGUUAGGAAGAUGAGAGGGCCUGAAUUCUGAGAUGUAGGCAUAAAUGAUAACCAGCCAUUGUGUUGAAGGUCACAUGACUUACAACUUUACCAAUUACUCCUGUAGAUAGCAUUUUUACUAUUGUAGAAACUAAAGUUUGUCUUUUGAGGUGUUUUUUGACUCCUGUAUUCCUGAUAACUGGUUAACUCCUCCUAGACCUGCCCAUUUUCCACAACCCUAUGAUUUCACCCCUAACCAAUCAACAGUCCCCAUUUCAUAGCCCCCUGCCCACCAAACUAUCCUGGAAAAGUUAUAAGCUCCAAGCCUUUGGGGAGACUGAUUUGAAUGACAGAUAACUGCAGCUGGUCCAGUGUGAGCUGGGUUCAUGUCAAUUCAACUCUUUUUUUUUUUUUUGAAAUGGAGUCUCUCUUUGUUGCCAGGCCGGAGUGCAGUUGUGUGAUCUUGGUUCACUAAAACCUCUGCCUCCAGGAUUCAAGUGAUUCUCCUGCCUCAGCCCCCUGAAUAGCUGGGAUUACAGGCACAUGUCACCACACCCAGCUAAUUUUUGUAUCUUUAGUAGAGACAGGUUUCACCAUGUUGCCCAGGAUGGUCUCGAUCUCUUGACCUAGUGAUCCACCUGCCUUGGCUUCCCAAAGUGCUGGGAUUAUAGGUGUGAGCCACUGCACCCAGCCAAUUCAACUCUUCCUUUACCACAAUACCAUGGUCUCAGUGGAUCAAUUUUGUCCAUGAAGUGGCAGAAGAAUCUGUUGGGUGAUUAUGCUCUCCUCCUUCCUGUGAACAAAAAGUAAAAUUCUAAGGCCCCCAACCAACGGAAUGAACCCCUCUCUAGGCCAAGGGGACCCAAAAAAACCUGAAAAACUAGGUCAGGCCGUACGGGAAGUGGGGGUUGGACAUACCUUAUUAUACUUUCCUCCCUUUAGUGUUCAGGUGUAACUGAGCAAACUUAACACUAAAAUGGAGAUCUUUUUUCUUUUAAUACUUUAAGUUCUGGGGUACAUGUGCAGAUCGUGCAGGAUUGUUACAUAGGUAUACAUAUGCCAUCGUGGUCAUCUAUCCAUCCCCCUGUCAUCUACAUUAGGUAUUUCUCCUAAUGUUAUUCCUCCCCAAUCUCCCCACCCUCUGCUAUCCCUACUCUAGCCUCCCCACCCCCAACAGGCCCCGGUGUGUGAUGUUCCCCUCCUUGUGUCCGUGUGUUCUCAUUCAGCACUCACUUAUGAGUGAGAACAUGUGGUGUUAUUUUUUCUGUUCUUGUGUUAGUUUGCUGAGAAUGAUAGUUUCCAGCUUCAUCCAUGUCGCUGCAGAGGACAUGAAUGAAUCCUUUUUUUUAUAGCUGCAUAGUAUUCCAUGGUGUAUAUGUGCUGCAUUUUCUUUAUCCACUCUAUAAUUGAUGGGCAUUUGGGUUGGUUCCAAGUCUUUGCUGUUGUAAACAGUGCCGCAAUGAACAUAUGUGUGCAUGCGUCUUUAAAAUAGAAUGAUUUAUAAUCCUUGGGUAUAUACCCAGUAAUGGGAUUGCUGGGUCACAUGGUAUUUCUAUUUCUAGAUGUGUGAGGAAUCGCCGCACUGUCUUCCACAGUGAUUGAACUGGUUUACACUCCCAACAACCACGCAAAAGUGUUCCUAUUUCUCCACAUCCUCUUUAGCAUCUGUUGUCUCCAGAUUUCUUAAUGAUUGCCAUUCUAACUGGUGAGAUGAUAUGUCCAUGUGGUUUUGAUUUGCAUUUCUCUAAUGACCAGUGAUGAUGAGCGCUUUUUCAUGUGUUUGUUGGCCACAUAAAUGUCUUCUUUUGAAAAGUGUCUUUUCAUAUCUUUUGCCCACUUUUUGAUGGGGUUGUUUAUUUCUUGUAAAUUUAAAACAGAUCUUAACACUGACAACACAGGUGCUUUGUAGCAAUAAGAUACCAAAUUUCAACCUGACUCUAGUGUGAUAUCACAUGACAGAUAAAAAAGGAAAUUGAAAUAUUUUACCCCAAAAUAUGUUUCCUUGACAAAGA
This is a non-coding RNA of Callithrix jacchus (white-tufted-ear marmoset), 19430 nucleotides long. NCBI's taxonomy places the organism in Eukaryota, Metazoa, Chordata, Mammalia, Primates, Cebidae. The record is from RefSeq and is a predicted model, not a curated record.